UCGGGAAUUUUGGGCAAUGGGCGAAAGCCUGACCCAGCAACGCCGCGUGAAGGAUGAAAUCCUUCGGGAUGUAAACUUCGCAAGAAUAGGAAGAAUGAGUAGGGGCUAAUACUCCCUAUGAUGACGGUACUAUUUGUAAGCUCCGGCUAACUCCGUGCCAGCAGCCGCGGUAAUACGGGGGGAGCAAGCGUUGUUCGGAUUUACUGGGCGUAAAGGGCGCGUAGGCGGCCAGCGCAAGUCAGUUGUGAAAUCUCCGGGCUUAACUCGGAAAGGUCAACUGAUACUGCGCGGCUAGAGUGCAGAAGGGGCAACUGGAAUUCUCGGUGUAGCGGUGAAAUGCGUAGAUAUCGAGAGGAACACCUGCGGCGAAGGCGGGUUGCUGGGCUGACACUGACGCUGAGGCGCGAAAGCCAGGGGAGCGAACGGG
This 427-nucleotide ribosomal RNA is filed under the name uncultured bacterium. Its description in RNAcentral is "bacterial SSU rRNA". It matches the Rfam family "Bacterial small subunit ribosomal RNA", at positions 355 to 776 of the family's 1533-position model. The record is from RNAcentral.